RNAcentral lists this unclassified non-coding RNA (343 nucleotides) under soil metagenome. RNAcentral's name for it is "partial contains 5.8S ribosomal RNA, internal transcribed spacer 2, and large subunit ribosomal RNA". The stretch from base 1 to 120 matches the Rfam family "5.8S ribosomal RNA", at positions 35 to 154 of the family's 154-position model. The record is from RNAcentral.
GAUGAAGAACGCAGCGAAAUGCGAUAAGUAAUGUGAAUUGCAGAAUUCAGUGAAUCAUCGAAUCUUUGUACGCACAUUGCGCCCGCCAGCAUUCUGGCGGGCAUGCCUGUUCGAGCGUCAUUUCAACCCUCGAGCCCCCCCGGGGGCCUCGGUGUUGGGGGACGGCACACCAGCCGCCCCCGAAAUGCAGUGGCGACCCCGCCGCAGCCUCCCCUGCGUAGUAGCACACACCUCGCACCGGAGCGCGGAGGCGGUCACGCCGUAAAACGCCCAACUUUCUUAGAGUUGACCUCGGAUCAGGUAGGAAUACCCGCUGAACUUAAGCAUAUCAAUAAGCGGAGGA